CUUAAUAUGGCAGAUUAGUGCAAUGAAUUUAAGCUUCAUAUAUAAAGAUUAUUCUUUUAUUAAGA
Molecule: transfer RNA, 65 nt
Filed under: Cnizocoris sinensis
Lineage: Eukaryota; Metazoa; Arthropoda; Insecta; Hemiptera; Phymatidae
Description: tRNA-Leu
Source: RNAcentral